GACGAAUUUAAGUCUCAAUUAGAACUAAUUGUAUAAAACCAAAAAAUCCAAAAUGUAGGAUAGACAACCUGUGUAAAUGAACAUGACUAAAAUAUAAACCAUUUAAGAGUUUAAUUACAAAAAACUACAGGAUGUGAUCAUGAUGGAAUCAGAAAAGAUGACAGUAAGAAUUGAUAGUAAGAUAUCUCAAAUUGGAAUGUGCUAUAUCUGAUAUUUCCAAUAAGUUAAAAAACCGAAAUUACAUCAAAGUUACUGUGCAGUCAAACAUUACAUAUUACAUAUCUUCGUCCAUGAAGAAAAUCUUUUCACUAAACUUCUGCACCAAAAUCAAGCAUUGCCGUUUAUUAGGACUCCAUCCCUUAUUCCAACGUCAUCAGCCACAUCACCUUCUACCAUUGCUGAAUCAACAAGAGACUGAAGUUCCUGCUCACAACUCUUAAGUCUUUCAGAGUUUUCUUUAACUUGCAGAAAACAUUUAUGCAGCUUGGUCAAUUGCAUCUUAUUGUGUGAAGUGCGCUUCUUUGCAGCAAUCAAUGCAUCCUCCAGUUUCUGUAUUCACCAUUAAAAUUCUAAGUGGGGAUGAAAAGCAAGGCUUGUUUAUAAAACUCGUUUGGAAUAGCAACAAGCACAAAAUGGAACAGUGUGGACGGAAAAAAAAUUGUUAUGUAAUUAGAAAACACAUACCUGAGUUCUUUUACGCAAAUUUGAAACAAGUUGCUGCUUGUCUUCUAACCUCUCUUCUAUCUCAGAAAUCUGAUUAGGCACUAAAAUUUAGCCUUUCCUUUUUUUAACAAUUGUUUCUUUUUAACAAAAUGCCACAAUGUGCAGAGAUAUCACAGAUAAAUGAUUAUGAUGGUCCCUAAGAAAGGUUGCAAAAUCAACCUUUGCAAACUUGGAAGUAUACCAUGAAUCCAAAGGAAAACUCUUCCCUACACCCAAGUGUAUAACUUGAUUUAUACACCCAACCAAUAGGUAAUCAACAUACCAUGAUUUUAGAUUAUGUGUUAUUUGUAGAUUGAAUGGUUGUAUACGCCCAGGUGUAAGCAAGAACAACUCGACCCCAAAUGUAUGUAGUAUGGAUAGGACAUGUGUAUGUAUGUUUGUCAAAAUUUUUGGCUCCUUUUUAAGUUCAUCGCGCCUCUGAAUUGAUCUCUCCAAUCUUUCUUUUACCUCAUCAUUGUAUUCAUCACUUGAAUCUGAAGACAUUUCCCCACUACGUUGAUCAUUAUAUCUAGAAUCAUUCUGUUUCCCCAAUUCUAGAUCUUUAUCCUUGUCAGCAAGUUCAUGAUCACCGUUGGUUCCAUCCAUCUCCUUGUCUCGAUCCCAAUGCAAAUCACGGCCUCUUUCCCGAUUCCAAUUGCUGUUCCUUCCUUCUUCUUGUUCAUUACCAACAGGAUCUUUCUCUCGGCUAUGAUCUCCAUCCAAGAAACCAUCCCUUGCCUGACCACGAUCGUGUGCAAGCUCACAUCGCCUUUCCUCAUCUUCAUCACGGUCCCAAGACCUGGCACGCUCUCUGGACCUAUCACUAUGUCGUUCCCUAUACCUGUCCCUAUCACGAUCAUAAUCCCUUUCUCGAUCUCUGCCCCUAUCCCACUCCACACCCCUCUCCAUAUUAUGUCGAAAUCGAUCUCGACCAAAAUUUGAUCUCCCCCCUCUAGUAGUCACUCCAUUUACUCUUACAACACGCCCAUCGAUUGUCUUGCCAUUCAUGUCAUUGAUUGCAUCAAUUACUGAUCUUGGAUUUCUAAAAGUAACAAAUCCAUAGCAUUUUCCUCUUGUUCCAUGGUCAUUAAUAAUCUUAACGGCGACGAUGGCGCCGUAGGGACCGAAUACUCUCCGAACAGUGUCUUCGGUAGCAUUGUAAGGAAGCCCACCAACGUAUAUAGAGUUAUCGUCGUCUACCGUCAUUUCCUCAGUUACUUUAAUCUGAAUUCUAAUCUAUCUGUUCGCCCGAAAUUGCAUAUUGGGGCGUUGGUCGUCCUUUUGGCCCUGCGAUCUAC
RNAcentral lists this unclassified non-coding RNA (2000 nucleotides) under Hevea brasiliensis (rubber tree). The record is from RNAcentral. Lineage: Eukaryota; Viridiplantae; Streptophyta; Magnoliopsida; Malpighiales; Euphorbiaceae.